This is a long non-coding RNA of Scomber japonicus (chub mackerel), 806 nucleotides long. RefSeq lists it as uncharacterized. Lineage: Eukaryota; Metazoa; Chordata; Actinopteri; Scombriformes; Scombridae. The transcript is spliced from 3 exons. The record is from RefSeq and is a predicted model, not a curated record.
AAAGGGGACUUCCUACUAGAGUACCAAGGUCAACUCAUUACCCAUCAGGAAUGUGAGAGGAGGCAGAGGAUCUACCAUGACAGCCUUAAGGACUUCAUGUUCAAGUUCCGUUUUGAUGGAAAACUCUGGUGUGUUGAUGCGGCUAAAGAGGACGGGACCUUGGGCAGACUGGCCAACGAUGACCAUGUAAACCCGAAUGCAAAGAUGAAGUACAUUAUGGUUGAAGGAAAGCCCCAUCUGUGCUUGUUUGCAAAACAUAGUAUAAGCCCUGGAGAGGAGAUCACAUAUGAUUAUGGUGAUUCAGACUGGCCAUGGAGAUAUAAGGUAGCUGAAGUUUUCCUUUUGUGAUAUUAAUGUCUCAAACUCCUGUGUUGCUAAAUCAUAGCAAUACAAUUCUAUGAGAGCGUGAAGACACACUGGAAAAGCUAACAAUUUGUCCCAUGACUGGUCAGAGGUCAUGUUUUUCCCACCUUUCUUAUGGUAUUACAUAGGAAACAUCUUAUAACUUUUUUUUUCUGUAGGAUGAUGCUGCAGGGACCCAUGGCAGUGAAAUGGUGGACAAGCCCCAUGACACUAAGAUGGCAGCAGGGACCCAUGACACUGAGAGGGUGGACAAGCCCCAUGACACUAAGAUGGCAGCAGGGACCCAUGACACUGAGAUGGUGAACAAGCCCCAUGACACUGAGAUGGCUGCAGGGUCAUGUCCAGAUCCAAGGAAUCCCAGCAGGGUUGGAAAGUGUAAAAAUCAUCACCUUGUGCUCACAACAGUAGCCACCCUGGAUAAGUGCAUUCAGUGUGUGGGACCU